GUUAAAUCAGCAGUGUUAAAGUGUAUUUACUCUAAUAGAGUCAUUAUAACGACAGCUGGAGCAAAACGCCUCCCAGUGUGGGUGAUAAUUCGCGGAGUUAAAAAACGCAGUGUCAAUGUUACACUAGAAAGCUCCUCCCACCACAGACUCCUUUUCAAACUGAGAGGAUUUUUCACGGCGCCAUUUUCUUCACAUCAGUUACACGUAGUUCGAUGAAGAGCACUGACUAUAAGAAAUUACUGUCUACAGGAAGCAUGCCAGAGGAAUUGUAACCUUUUUCCCUUACCUCAGUGGCCCUUACUCCAAAAAUGGCUAUUGUCUGUACAUGUCACUCUCCAAGGAACAUUAUUAUGAUGGCGAGAGUGGCACUGGGUACUUGGCCUGGAGGAUUAAAACCAUACAGAGAUGCACCGCUAAAGGGAGGCGAUUAUCAUCUGGAGCACCAGGAGAUGGAUCAUCGAGUGAAGACCAGUGUGGUGGACCAACUGUCAGACGAGAGUUGCAGUUUGUUACAGAGAAGGUGCUGAGUGAGAAUGAGUGCAAGGAUACAAUCUCUCUGAUGAAACAUUCAGCUGAUGAAGACACAGUCAAGAAGAAGAUGAAGUUGACAUUUGUUUAUCAACACAGCAUGGUCCUUGACCUCCUGCUGUCAAGCAACA
Molecule: long non-coding RNA, 659 nt
Organism: Oreochromis aureus
Lineage: Eukaryota; Metazoa; Chordata; Actinopteri; Cichliformes; Cichlidae
Exons: 4
Source: RefSeq, a predicted model, not a curated record